RNAcentral lists this transfer RNA (77 nucleotides) under Actinomycetota bacterium. RNAcentral describes it as "Actinobacteria bacterium (freshwater metagenome) tRNA-Asp". It matches the Rfam family "tRNA". Rfam says of the family: Transfer RNA (tRNA) molecules are approximately 80 nucleotides in length. Lineage: Bacteria; Bacillati; Actinomycetota. The record is from RNAcentral.
GGGGGCGUAGUUCAGCUGGUAAGAACGCCGGCCUGUCACGCCGGAGGUCGCGGGUUCGAGUCCCGUCGCUCCCGCCA